Molecule: small nuclear RNA, 160 nt
Filed under: Solanum lycopersicum (tomato)
Lineage: Eukaryota; Viridiplantae; Streptophyta; Magnoliopsida; Solanales; Solanaceae
Description: U1 spliceosomal RNA
Rfam family: U1 spliceosomal RNA
About the family: U1 is a small nuclear RNA (snRNA) component of the spliceosome (involved in pre-mRNA splicing). Its 5' end forms complementary base pairs with the 5' splice junction, thus defining the 5' donor site of an intron. There are significant differences in sequence and secondary structure between metazoan and yeast U1 snRNAs, the latter being much longer (568 nucleotides as compared to 164 nucleotides in human).
Source: Rfam by way of RNAcentral
CCACCUUCAUAGACGGGGUCAAUGGGUGAUCAAAAAGACUCAAAGCCUAGGGUGGUGACCUCCAUUGCACUUGGUAGGAUUGCCUUCCUAAGGACGAUCCAAGUGGUCGUUCCUACGUCCUAAUUUUUUACAGUGGGGGCCUGCAUUUGCAUGGCCCCUA